GAUGAACGCUGGCGGCGUGCCUAAUACAUGCAAGUCGAACGCAUUGAGAGAAGUGCUUGCACCUUUCAAUUUGAGUGGCGAACGGGUGAGUAACACGUGGGCAACCUACCUGAUAGCGGGGGAUAACGAGUGGAAACAUUCGCUAAUACCGCAUAACAAUAGAGAAGGCAUCUUCUUUAUUUACAAGGCGCUUUCAAGCGUCACUAUCAGAUGGGCCCGCGGUGCAUUAGUUAGUUGGUGGGGUGAAGGCCUACCAAGACGAUGGUGCAUAGCCGAGUUGAGAGACUGAUCGGCCACAUUGGGACUGAGACACGGCCCAAACUCCUACGGGAGGCUGCAGUAGGGAAUCUUCCACAAUGGACGAAAGUCUGAUGGAGCAACGCCGCGUGUGUGAUGAAGGCUUUCGGGUCGUAAAGCACUGUUGUAUGGGAAGAAAUGCUAGGCUAGGAAAUGAGCUUAGUUUGACGGUACCAUACCAGAAAGGGACGGCUAAAUACGUGCCAGCCGCCGCCGUAA
RNAcentral lists this ribosomal RNA (516 nucleotides) under uncultured bacterium. RNAcentral's name for it is "partial 16S ribosomal RNA". It matches the Rfam family "Bacterial small subunit ribosomal RNA", at positions 28 to 523 of the family's 1533-position model. The record is from RNAcentral.